Regulatory RNA element from Cytophaga hutchinsonii ATCC 33406, 68 nucleotides. It matches the Rfam family "DUF805 RNA". The record is from Rfam. NCBI's taxonomy places the organism in Bacteria, Pseudomonadati, Bacteroidota, Cytophagia, Cytophagales, Cytophagaceae.
UUACCUUGGAGUCCAGAAACCAUAUCAAAAACGGGGCGAUACUGAAAAGCCAUACGAGUAGGAAUUAA